GGUGGGUUGGUCGAGCGGUCUAAGGCACCGGUCUUGAAAACCGGCGACGGUUAUGCCGUCCGUGAGUUCGAAUCUCACACCCACCGCCA
This 89-nucleotide transfer RNA is filed under the name Acidobacteriota bacterium. Its description in RNAcentral is "Acidobacteria bacterium (freshwater metagenome) tRNA-Ser". It matches the Rfam family "tRNA". Rfam says of the family: Transfer RNA (tRNA) molecules are approximately 80 nucleotides in length. Their secondary structure includes four short double-helical elements and three loops (D, anti-codon, and T loops). The record is from RNAcentral. RNAcentral also lists the same sequence under 1 other name. Lineage: Bacteria; Pseudomonadati; Acidobacteriota.